RNAcentral lists this microRNA (21 nucleotides) under Salmo salar (Atlantic salmon). RNAcentral's name for it is "ssa-miR-8156-5p". The record is from miRBase by way of RNAcentral. Lineage: Eukaryota; Metazoa; Chordata; Actinopteri; Salmoniformes; Salmonidae.
GUCCUGACUGUCCUGACUGUC